RNAcentral lists this ribosomal RNA (426 nucleotides) under Triticum aestivum (bread wheat). RNAcentral's name for it is "partial small subunit ribosomal RNA". Lineage: Eukaryota; Viridiplantae; Streptophyta; Magnoliopsida; Poales; Poaceae. The record is from RNAcentral.
AUGAACUCAUGGUUGGUGGUCUGUGGUGACAUGCUUCUCUUGAUUGACCAAAGGUUCAGCUCUGGCGGAUUGGGUGGCUCAUCUAACACGAUCUUUAGGGUCUCUCGCCUCAACUUCUCUGUCGAGCCAGCUAAGUGGGUGAAGUUGGAGAAGCUGGAUAAUUAUGCUCUGUUUGUUAGCCCUGACAGAAGGAAUCCUACAUUUUGUUGCAUGAGCCCGGAAAGAUGGGGAGGAAAGAGUAACUGCAUUUAUUUUGCGAGGCUAACUGAAGAUCCCGAUGAAACUUGGACCGCGGUCGAGUUUGGUCAGCCAGUGCCAGACAGUGCAGUUCGCGCCAUGCUCUUCUAUGAUAUGUCGUCCCCUCCAGACUGUGGUGUACUAAGUAGCCUCUGGGUGUUCCCCAGUUUAGUUUAUGGUUCUGGCUAG